This is a transfer RNA of Camelus ferus (Wild Bactrian camel), 73 nucleotides long. It matches the Rfam family "tRNA". Rfam says of the family: Transfer RNA (tRNA) molecules are approximately 80 nucleotides in length. Their secondary structure includes four short double-helical elements and three loops (D, anti-codon, and T loops). The record is from Rfam. Lineage: Eukaryota; Metazoa; Chordata; Mammalia; Artiodactyla; Camelidae.
GAGGGUAUAGCUCAGGUGGUAGAGCACAUGCUUAGCAUGCACAAGGUCCUGGGUUCAAUCCCCAGUAUCUCCU